UACGAGGAGGCUUGCCUCCGAAGUGAGUGAUACCCAGCUUCCAGGAAAAGCCACUAAGCUUCAGCUGCACACGACCGUACCGCAAACCGACACUGGUGCGCGAGAUGAGUAUUCUCAGGCGCUUGAGAGAACUCGGGAGAAGGAACUCGGCAAAUUGACACCGUAACUUCGGAAGAAGGUGUGCCUUUAGUAGGUGAACCCGUACAGGGGGAGCCCAAUGAGGUUGCAAAGAAUCGGUGGCUGCGACUGUUUAAUAAAAACACAGCACUCUGCAAACACGAAAGUGGACGUAUAGGGUGUGACGCCUGCCCGGUGCUGGAAGAUUAAGUGAUGGGGUGCAAGCUCUUGAUCGAAGUCCCAGUAAACGGCGGCCGUAACAAUAACGGUCCUAAGGUAGCGAAAUUCCUUGUCGGGUAAGUUCCGACCUGCACGAAUGGCGUAACGAUGGCCACACUGUCUCCUCCCGAGACUCAGCGAAGUUGAAAUGUUUGUGAUGAUGCAAUCUCCCCGCGGAAAGACGGAAAGACCCCAUGAACCUUUACUGUAGCUUUGUAUUGGACUUUGAACGGAUCUGUGUAGGAUAGGUGGGAGGCUUUGAAGCAGGGUCGCUAGAUCUUGUGGAGCCAACGUUGAAAUACCACCCUGGUGCGUUUGAGGUUCUAACCUAGGCCCGUUAUCCGGGUCGGGGACAGUGCAUGGUAGGCAGUUUGACUGGGGCGGUCUCCUCCCAAAGCGUAACGGAGGAGUUCGAAGGUACGCUAGUUACGGUCGGACAUCGUGACGAUAGUGCAAUGGCAUAAGCGUGCUUAACUGCGAGACUGACAAGUCGAGCAGAUGCGAAAGCAGGACAUAGUGAUCCGGUGGUUCUGUAUGGAAGGGCCAUCGCUCAACGGAUAAAAGGUACUCUGGGGAUAACAGGCUGAUACCGCCCAAGAGUUCAUAUCGACGGCGGUGUUUGGCACCUCGAUGUCGGCUCAUCUCAUCCUGGGGCUGUAGCCGGUCCCAAGGGUAUGGCUGUUCGCCAUUUAAAGAGGUACGUGAGCUGGGUUUAAAACGUCGUGAGACAGUUUGGUCCCUAUCUUCCGUGGGCGCUGCAGAUUUGAGGAAGCCUGCUCCUAGUACGAGAGGACCGGAGUGGACGCACCUCUGGUGUACCUGUUGUCACGCCAGUGGCAUUGCAGGGUAGCUAAGUGCGGAAGAGAUAACCGCUGAAAGCAUCUAAGCGGGAAACUCGUUUCAAGAUGAGAUCUGCCGGGGCCUUGAGCCCCCUGAAGAGUCGUUCUAGACCAGGACGUUGAUAGGCUGGGUGUGGAAGCGCAGUAAUGCGUUAAGCUAACCAGUACUAAUUGCUCGUGCGGCUUGACCCC
Molecule: ribosomal RNA, 1367 nt
Filed under: metagenome
Description: bacterial LSU rRNA
Rfam family: Bacterial large subunit ribosomal RNA
Source: RNAcentral